RNAcentral lists this transfer RNA (73 nucleotides) under Mus musculus (house mouse). It matches the Rfam family "tRNA". Rfam says of the family: Transfer RNA (tRNA) molecules are approximately 80 nucleotides in length. Their secondary structure includes four short double-helical elements and three loops (D, anti-codon, and T loops). Lineage: Eukaryota; Metazoa; Chordata; Mammalia; Rodentia; Muridae. The record is from Rfam by way of RNAcentral. RNAcentral also lists the same sequence under 1 other name.
UGGAAGAUGGCUCAGUGGUUAAGAGCACUGGCUGUUCUUCCAGAGGACCUGGGUUCAAUUCCCAGCAUGCCUG